RNAcentral lists this ribosomal RNA (435 nucleotides) under uncultured bacterium. RNAcentral's name for it is "partial 16S ribosomal RNA". It matches the Rfam family "Bacterial small subunit ribosomal RNA", at positions 29 to 507 of the family's 1533-position model. The record is from RNAcentral.
AGCGAACGCUGGCGGCAGGCUUAACACAUGCAAGUCGAGCGGGCAUCUUCGGAUGUCAGCGGCAGACGGGUGAGUAACACGUGGGAACGUACCCUUCGGUUCGGAACAACUCUGGGAAACUGGAGCUAAUACCGGAUACGCCCUUAUGGGGAAAGGUUUACUGCCGAAGGAUCGGCCCACGUCUGAUUAGCUAGUUGGUGGGGUAACGGCCUACCAAGGCGACGAUCAGUAGCUGGUCUGAGAGGAUGAUCAGCCACACUGGGACUGAGACACGGCCCAGACUCCUACGGGAGGCAGCAGUGGGGAAUAUUGGAUAAUGGGCGCAAGCCUGAUCCAGCCAUGCCGCGUGAGUGAUGAAGGCCUUAGGGUUGUAAAGCUCUUUUGUCCGGGACGAUAAUGACGGUACCGGAAGAAUAAGCCCCGGCUAACUUCGUG